CUAGAUCUAGAUCUAAGUUCUCUAGCCACACCCUUUAAUAACCUUUCCACUCGCUGUCACGUAACAUUGCAAUUUCCUGUAUUCUGCAUCGAUACCACGUACCACCUCCAGCUUUCAGCUCACUGCCAGCAGUCCUUCUGAUGGGAAGACUGCGUUAUGACCAAGAAAACAAGCUGCUUCUGUACAGCGCAGCACUGGAGCAAGUGGGACUACAACAUUCUGAUCCCAAGUCUCCUCAGGAAGCAGCUUGAAGACGGGCAGUCCAGAUUGCCACCAAGGAAGACGUGACAUGGCCUCAGAUGACGAUUGAAAUAGUUGACACAAAAACUACUGCAAUCAUAGUGAGCCAAAUGACCUUCACCAUACACAUAGGAUCUGUCCAUAAAAUGUAAAAGAGAUAAAAUGAAGCAGGAAAUCACUGGCAGAGGAAAGCAGAACAUUCUGUAUUGGUAGGUUUUUGGACAAUGACUAUCCCUUCAGAUUAAAAUUUUAAACAAAAUAGAAGAUUAUGCCUUUUACUUUCAGCUUUCUUUGUUCUUUGAAAUUAAGUUUCCUACCUAAAAUCUAGCUUCAUUUUCACCUGCAUCUAUCCCCCCAUGUCUCAUAUAACAGUACAUAGCUAAGUGAAUGAAAACUUCCCCUAUUUGUAUAAAGUAUUACAUGCAACUCAGCCAGGAAGAAAAUGUUUCACUGAUCAACAUUUAUAUUUAAGGUAGAAGAAGGGCAAUAUAUAUCCUCUCUUUGUUUGGCUGGAGCACAGAAGGAAUUGGUCCACUGUCCAACACUGGCCUGUACUGGCAUCCUCAACCUCCUGGUCCAUCUUCAUGUACAGAAGAAGGUAAGAUUCUAUGCAUAGACAUUUUCUUACCAAAAAGUGAGGAAAUGUCACCAACACGACCCCUCUGGGGAGGUCUUUAACCAAAGCUGCCUUGGGGGAGACUCAGCGUGGGACUGAGCUUAGGACGUAGGCUGCUCUUUCAGACAACAGCUGCUGCAGAAAUGCACCCACAUUCUGCAGGGAAUUAGUUCAGUAACAAGUACAAGCCAGGACUACACACCGCAGAGAAAGGAUGUGGGGAACUUUCCUCCCUGGUUGUUUGAAAGACCUUUCAAACUUCUUUGGCAGCUGCAUGUUAAUGCAUACCUUAGCAUUGUCAAAUAACUAUUUUAAACCCCAACUAUGUUACUAUGAGUCAUAUAAAAGCAAAUUAUAGACUAUAGCCAAACCAGUGUUUUCCUUUCCUUGACUUAAAAUAAUAUAAUUAGACCUACAUCAACUUCCCUUGUGUAUCUUUUCCACUGAGAAGUCAUGAGGUAACUGCCAAGAACCCCAUGGCUCUUUGAGGUAAGCACAGCUCAUCCCUCCUAAUUCAGCACUAAAAAUAUCUUCUAUACAGUCAUUUAGGCUUCUUUCAAACAGAGUACUCUACCGCGCCUUGUAGUGACUUGUAAUGACUUGUCCAUCACCAUUACCUAGGCAAAGACCUGAGCACCUCUAUAGCUUUGUUUUGAAGUAAAGAGAACAAAAAUGUGUUGUUAAAUUGGGAUAACUACUUCCCAGGUAAAUCACCAUUGGCAAAUGGUGGUUAGUUCAUAUUUCCGACACAAGUUAGCAGGGCAAGUUACAAACUAUACUCCUCUCAUAGCUAGACCUAGUUAUUUAAACAAACAAACACACACACACACACACAAAAACCCCACAAAAACCAAACAACUAAGCUGCCCUCUCUACAGUUUCACCUGGAUUUAUUUAACAUAGGUUUAGCCAACUGCAAAACAGGUAUUGUUUCCCAGGAAAGUUAUGGCAGAAAAUGCAUUUGCCGUACAAAACUAAAUGAAUGUAACAAUUCAGCAAUUCCCAGAUGGCAAAUGUUGUACACAGACAGGCUGGAAUCCCUGACCAUGGUCAGGCAAUCAGCCAAAACACUCUUAGAGCACAAAGAGAAAUGUAAAAAGCUGACAGGCUGUCCCCUGGGAAAACGAAGCCUACUUCAGCUGAAGAUUUCUCUUUUGAGAGUACUGUAGUAAGGAUAUUGCAGUACGACAUUAAGAGAAGUCAAACCUGUCUCCUGGUUCUUCUGCCACUAAAAUUAACAGGAAUUAUUUAAUUUACCACCAAGACAACAGGGUUAUACCAUUAUGAGGAACAGGAGAGGAAAAAAGUAAUUCUGGCUUUUCUCAUACAUGCAAUUUGUGUGUCUGUCACUGCUAAGCAAAAGCAAAACAAAACAACAACAAAACAAACAAACAAAACAACAAACACUUACUUUGCUCUGUUGUUUCUAGGAAAGAAAAAGUCAGCUGCUUUAAAUCACUAUAAAAACUGUCAGUUGCCUCCUAAAGACAGUCUUUUACUAAGGGAUGAUCAAAAUUGCAUUGUUUUCUUGUGAAAUAUUUAAAUACUUUCAAAUGGUUGCUGAAAGCAUAGAACUACCUACUGGAGAUUUUUUGCAAGAUUAAUAUUGUUUCUGGCUUGAUUUCCCUUCUGACUGCUUUGUAACUUACAUUCCAC
This is a long non-coding RNA of Columba livia (rock pigeon), 2512 nucleotides long. RefSeq lists it as uncharacterized. The transcript has 4 exons. NCBI's taxonomy places the organism in Eukaryota, Metazoa, Chordata, Aves, Columbiformes, Columbidae. The record is from RefSeq and is a predicted model, not a curated record.